This 346-nucleotide ribosomal RNA is filed under the name uncultured bacterium. RNAcentral describes it as "bacterial SSU rRNA". It matches the Rfam family "Bacterial small subunit ribosomal RNA", at positions 335 to 698 of the family's 1533-position model. The record is from RNAcentral.
ACUCCUACGGGAGGCAGCAGUGGGGAAUAUUGGACAAUGGGCGAAAGCCUGAUCCAGCCAUGCCGCGUGGGUGAAGAAGGCCUUAGGGUUGUAAACCCCUUUCAGCGGGGAAGAUAAUGACGGUACCCGCAGAAGAAGUCCCGGCUAACUCCGUGCCAGCAGCCGCGGUAAUACGGAGGGGACUAGCGUUGUUCGGAAUUACUGGGCGUAAAGCGCACGUAGGCGGAUUUGUAAGUCAGGGGUGAAAUCCCGGGGCUCAACCUCGGAACUGCCUUUGAUACUGCAAAUCUCGAGUCCGGAAGAGGUAAGUGGAAUUCCUAGUGUAGCGGUGAAAUGCGUAGAGAUC